This 1107-nucleotide long non-coding RNA is filed under the name Homo sapiens (human). Its description in RNAcentral is "non-protein coding TET2-AS1:4". Lineage: Eukaryota; Metazoa; Chordata; Mammalia; Primates; Hominidae. The record is from RNAcentral.
AUUUGAAAAGGCAGAGAAAGAAGGGUACAUCGGGCUGCUUCAGGAAGACUGGAAUAGAGACCUUCACAGAAGAGAGAGGCCCCAUAUCAGAAGGAAGUGUGACCCAGAAGGAUGGAGCUCUUCAGAGACAGGCUUCUUUGAGAAUCAAGAAAGAUUCAGAACAGGUGAAUUGAGUAGAUUGUGGCUUUUGGAAACUGAGUAACACAGUAGCAAAUUGCAUAGCGUUUUAAACACUGCAACCUGACUUAAGAGAGAAUCCCCCUGUAAAGGUAAGGCUGAGGGAUGGUCAGUAUAAAUACCUUAGGAAAUGUAGGUUACCUCUUAUCUACCCCCGGUCUCUUUGCUUUUCUUGUUACUGUGUUGUUCCAUGUAUUUGUGUUUGAUAAGAAAAUGAACCGAUAUGUGUAAAAGUGUGUGUAUAUGUGUUUGAAGGAUAGACGGGAGGUUGUUGGUUGCCCAGAUUUACAUUUCUCCAGGCUUAAAUCACCGUGCCUUUUACAGUAGCCAAAAGAGGCACACAGUUCUAGAAGCACUGACUGAGGGUCCAGAGGAGAAAAAUUCAAAGAUGUUCACUAAUAGUACCAGAAAGACCUCAAGUCCCUCUGAGUCUCAGCUGUGGUCAAAGGAGGAAAAUGCCAUCCUAGAUUUUUCUGUAACAUAUUUGGGACCUAUUUGGAGAGAAGAUAGAGGCAUACAACUUUGAGUGCUUAUAGAAAACACUAGUUUCAAUUUGUACUGCAUGUCACCUACUGACCCGUAUUGCCCUCAGUAUGAAAUGUGUUGUUGCAGUGAUCUCUAGCUGCUUUUUUGUUGUCGUUGCUUUUGAACCCCAAGUUAAGUAUGAUGAAAACCUUCCAAAUCUGCCUAGAUUACUGCCAAGAAAGAGAUGGGUGCAUACUGAUCCCAUGCCAGGCAAAUGAAAAACUGGCAACAUCCUGGGAUGAGCUCUCCUGCUGCCAGUUUAGUUUUUGCUUACAUGUGGCCAAUGGUUGUCAACACUCAUGAUGAGGGGGUAUAAGCAUGAGCUUGUCACCUCAAAGGCUAGGUUACCAGAUUUAGCAUUGUUUAAAGAAGUAACAAGAAACACUAAAAGUUUAACAUCUGACA